Helicobacter bizzozeronii CIII-1 is the source of this 74-nucleotide transfer RNA. It matches the Rfam family "tRNA". Rfam says of the family: Transfer RNA (tRNA) molecules are approximately 80 nucleotides in length. Their secondary structure includes four short double-helical elements and three loops (D, anti-codon, and T loops). Further hydrogen bonds mediate the characteristic L-shaped molecular structure. tRNAs have two regions of fundamental functional importance: the anti-codon, which is responsible for specific mRNA codon recognition, and the 3' end, to which the tRNAs corresponding amino acid is attached (by aminoacyl-tRNA synthetases). tRNAs cope with the degeneracy of the genetic code in two manners: having more than one tRNA (with a specific anti-codon) for a particular amino acid; and 'wobble' base-pairing, i.e. permitting non-standard base-pairing at the 3rd anti-codon position. The record is from Rfam. NCBI's taxonomy places the organism in Bacteria, Pseudomonadati, Campylobacterota, Epsilonproteobacteria, Campylobacterales, Helicobacteraceae.
CGGGGCGUAGCGCAGCCUGGUAGCGCACUUGGUUUGGGACCAAGGGGUCGAAGGUUCAAAUCCUUUCGCCCCGA